UGGGGAAUUUUGGGCAAUGGGCGAAAGCCUGACCCAGCAACGCCGCGUGAAGGAUGAAGUAUUUCGGUAUGUAAACUUCGAAAGAAUAGGAAGAAUAAAUGACGGUACUAUUUAUAAGGUCCGGCUAACUACGUGCCAGCAGCCGCGGUAAUACGUAGGGACCAAGCGUUGUUCGGAUUUACUGGGCGUAAAGGGCGCGUAGGCGGCAAUUCAAGUCAUCUGUGAAAUCUCCGGGCUUAACUCGGAACGGUCAGAUGAUACUGCUUUGCUAGAGUGCAGAAGGGGCAAUCGGAAUUCUUGGUGUAGCGGUGAAAUGCGUAGAUAUCAAGAGGAACACCAGUGGCGAAGGCGGCUCACUGGAUCGGUACUGACGCUGAGGUGCGAAAGCGUGGGGAGCAAACAGGAUUAGAUACCCCAGUAGUCCCUGAGCGGGCUGGCAAGGCGCAU
This 447-nucleotide ribosomal RNA is filed under the name uncultured bacterium. Its description in RNAcentral is "bacterial SSU rRNA". It matches the Rfam family "Bacterial small subunit ribosomal RNA", at positions 355 to 825 of the family's 1533-position model. The record is from RNAcentral.